This 338-nucleotide unclassified non-coding RNA is filed under the name Hevea brasiliensis (rubber tree). The record is from RNAcentral. Lineage: Eukaryota; Viridiplantae; Streptophyta; Magnoliopsida; Malpighiales; Euphorbiaceae.
UAUGGAUCUGCUGUCUUUCGCUUUGAAGUGAAGCAAAGUUGUGUUCCCUAAAAUCAACGAUUUCACUUCCACUCCGGCCUUGAUCUUGACAGCAUGUAGUUGUGCAAGGCACCAUCUAUGCAAAAUAGCUGCAAUAUCCUUUUUGAUAUCAGACUUGAUGCUCAUUUCUUUGUCUUCCUUGCUAGAUUCAUAAGAAAAGGCUGCGGCAAUUUCCUCAUGGAUUGACCAAUCACUAGAACCCAUCUCAAUGUCUGAAUUGGUUCUCAAAACUGUUGUUAAUGUUUUAUUAUUAUUAUUCUUGCCCAAAGCCUCAGCAUUAUUUUCUUCAGAAACCCCAG